This 166-nucleotide non-coding RNA is filed under the name human gut metagenome. RNAcentral describes it as "Lysine riboswitch". It matches the Rfam family "Lysine riboswitch aptamer". From Rfam's summary of the family: Riboswitches are metabolite binding domains within certain messenger RNAs that serve as precision sensors for their corresponding targets. Allosteric rearrangement of mRNA structure is mediated by ligand binding, and this results in modulation of gene expression. The record is from RNAcentral.
UGAGUAGAGGCGCAAAUUUUAUCAGUAACCGCCGUCAUAACCGCUUAAACGGGACGGAGCGAAAGGAAGAUUUGCCGAAGCAUUGCGGGGUUUAAGAUCCGCAAUAUGCUGGGCGACGGAAUAACAUUCCGGCGACUGUCGCUUUUUAUAAAGCGGUGAGCUAACG